RNAcentral lists this transfer RNA (72 nucleotides) under Candidatus Sneabacter namystus. It matches the Rfam family "tRNA". Rfam says of the family: Transfer RNA (tRNA) molecules are approximately 80 nucleotides in length. Their secondary structure includes four short double-helical elements and three loops (D, anti-codon, and T loops). The record is from Rfam by way of RNAcentral. Lineage: Bacteria; Pseudomonadati; Pseudomonadota; Alphaproteobacteria; Rickettsiales; Rickettsiaceae.
GGCCCCUUAGUUUAUCGGUUAGAACGUCGCCCUUUCACGGCGGAGAGACGGGUUCGAUUCCCGUAGGGGUCA